RNAcentral lists this ribosomal RNA (267 nucleotides) under uncultured bacterium. RNAcentral's name for it is "partial small subunit ribosomal RNA". It matches the Rfam family "Bacterial small subunit ribosomal RNA", at positions 26 to 287 of the family's 1533-position model. The record is from RNAcentral.
AGGACGAACGCUGGCGGCGUGCUUAACACAUGCAAGUGGAGCGACGAACCAGGCUUCGGCCUGGGGCAGAGCCGCGAACGGGUGAGUAACACGUGGGUAACCUGCCCUGAUGAUUGGGACAACCCGAGGAAACUCGGGCUAAUACCAAAUGUGCCCUUUGACCGCAAGGCCACUGGGGAAAGGAGCUUCGGCCUCCGCAUUGGGAUGGGCCCGCGGCCCAUUAGCUUGUUGGUGAGGUAACGGCUCACCAAGGCGACGAUGGGUAGC